Molecule: long non-coding RNA, 436 nt
Filed under: Homo sapiens (human)
Lineage: Eukaryota; Metazoa; Chordata; Mammalia; Primates; Hominidae
Description: HSALNT0325724
Source: RNAcentral
CAGAAAUCAGUCCCUUGGGAAGCCUCCUGAAGAGCCAGAACGUGGACCACUGUUCCACUCUUCUUUUUGACUCCUAAGACAUAAGCCACUGAGCUGUACCAUAAUCUGCUGACCAUACCAUGUGUUGGUUGCCUGGAGCAGGGGCAAGCUUUUCUCUUUUGUUUUUAGUGGCCUCCAGGACUCUAAAGUAUGCAGGUCUUAUCAGUUCUCCAAGACAGCAAAAUGGAUUCUGCCAUAAACCAGAAUGAAUGGAUGUGGACUGUCCUCCAGAGACUUGAGAAUCGGCCAGGCUGGUGACAUACUGAUUUUACCUCAUGAGACCCUAGGCUGAGCAGAGCCAUUUUGACUUCUACCUUGCAGAAAUGUGAUAUAACAAGCAGAUGUUAUUUGAAGCCACUACAUUUGUGGUAAUUAAUUUUGAAGUAAUAGAAAAUAA